UGGCGAACGGGUGAGUAACACGUGGGCAACUUGCCCAAAAGAGGGGGAUAACACUUGGAAACAGGUGCUAAUACCGCAUAACCAUAGUUACCGCAUGGUAACUAUGUAAAAGGUGGCUAUGCUACCGCUUUUGGAUGGGCCCGCGACGCAUUAGCUAGUUGGUGGGGUAAAGGCUUACCAAGGCAAUGAUGCGUAGCCGAACUGAGAGGUUGAUCGGCCACAUUGGGACUGAGACACGGCCCAAACUCCUACGGGAGGCAGCAG
RNAcentral lists this ribosomal RNA (264 nucleotides) under uncultured bacterium. RNAcentral describes it as "partial 16S ribosomal RNA". It matches the Rfam family "Bacterial small subunit ribosomal RNA", at positions 96 to 354 of the family's 1533-position model. The record is from RNAcentral.